AGUCAAAAAGGCUGGCAUCUGUUGUGAUGGUCAGGCAGCUGGGCUCCUUGAAACCACAUCUCUUGGUUAUGGCCUGGAACAUGCACCACUUAAAGGACUGAAAUACAUUUGGUGGGACCUGAACCCUGGAAUUUGAGUUGCUCCUGCCAGAAAGCUCCAUCUCUUUUUGGUUCUCAUCUCCUGAGAGCAAAAUCCUGCUCUGCAUGGAGGAAGAGGAAACAGAAUUCCAGAAAGAACAACUCUUCCAAUGCCUGAAGAUUGGGGUAAAUAUCUUACAACUACAUCUGGCAAUAACCAGAGAAAUGAAAGAAACACAGAUACAAUUUUCUGCAGAAUACAGCAAGAAUCUAAGAGACAGCACAGGAAGCAUCAUUCUUAAGAAUUAAAUAAAAACAGCUGCCCCUAGAGAAGAAUUUUAUGGUUGGCUCUGCCAUAAUAAACAGUUUUAUUAAGCACCAA
This is a long non-coding RNA of Pantherophis guttatus, 459 nucleotides long. RefSeq lists it as uncharacterized. NCBI's taxonomy places the organism in Eukaryota, Metazoa, Chordata, Lepidosauria, Squamata, Colubridae. The record is from RefSeq and is a predicted model, not a curated record.